RNAcentral lists this ribosomal RNA (465 nucleotides) under Vreelandella stevensii. RNAcentral describes it as "partial 16S ribosomal RNA". It matches the Rfam family "Bacterial small subunit ribosomal RNA", at positions 338 to 795 of the family's 1533-position model. Lineage: Bacteria; Pseudomonadati; Pseudomonadota; Gammaproteobacteria; Oceanospirillales; Halomonadaceae. The record is from RNAcentral.
CCUACGGGGGGCAGCAGUGGGGAAUAUUGGACAAUGGGGGGAACCCUGAUCCAGCCAUGCCGCGUGUGUGAAGAAUGCCCUCGGGUUGUAAAGCACUUUCAGUGAGGAAGAACGCCUGGUGGUUAAUACCCAUCAGGAAAGACAUCACUCACAGAAGAAGCACCGGCUAACUCCGUGCCAGCAGCCGCGGUAAUACGGAGGGUGCGAGCGUUAAUCGGAAUUACUGGGCGUAAAGCGCGCGUAGGUGGCUUGAUAAGCCGGUUGUGAAAGCCCCGGGCUCAACCUGGGAACGGCAUCCGGAACUGUCAAGCUAGAGUGCAGGAGAGGAAGGUAGAAUUCCCGGUGUAGCGGUGAAAUGCGUAGAGAUCGGGAGGAAUACCAGUGGCGAAGGCGGCCUUCUGGACUGACACUGACACUGAGGUGCGAAAGCGUGGGUAGCAAACAGGAUUAGAUACCCUGGUAGUC